This 427-nucleotide ribosomal RNA is filed under the name uncultured bacterium. Its description in RNAcentral is "bacterial SSU rRNA". It matches the Rfam family "Bacterial small subunit ribosomal RNA", at positions 355 to 774 of the family's 1533-position model. The record is from RNAcentral.
UGGGGAAUUUUGGACAAUGGGGGCAACCCUGAUCCAGCCAUCCCGCGUGUGCGAUGAAGGCCUUCGGGUUGUAAAGCACUUUUGGCAGGGAAGAAACAGCCUGGGCUAAUAUCACGGGCGACUGACGGUACCUGCAGAAUAAGCACCGGCUAACUACGUGCCAGAAGCCGCGGUAAUACGUAGGGUGCAAGCGUUAAUCGGAAUUACUGGGCGUAAAGCGUGCGCAGGCGGUUCGGAAAGAAAGGUGUGAAAUCCCAGGGCUUAACCUUGGAACUGCACUUUUAACUACCGGGCUAGAGUACGUCAGAGGGGGGUAGAAUUCCACGUGUAGCAGUGAAAUGCGUAGAGAUGUGGAGGAAUACCGAUGGCGAAGGCAGCCCCCUGGGAUGAUACUGACGCUCAUGCACGAAAGCGUGGGGAGCAAACA